Molecule: ribosomal RNA, 430 nt
Filed under: bacterium
Lineage: Bacteria
Description: partial 16S ribosomal RNA
Rfam family: Bacterial small subunit ribosomal RNA
Source: RNAcentral
UGGGGAAUAUUGGACAAUGGGCGAAAGCCUGAUCCAGCCAUGCCGCGUGUGUGAAGAAGGCCUUUUGGUUGUAAAGCACUUUAAGCGAGGAGGAGGCUACUUAGAUUAAUACUCUAGGAUAGUGGACGUUACUCGCAGAAUAAGCACCGGCUAACUCUGUGCCUGCAGCCGCGGUAAUACAGAGGGUGCGAGCGUUAAUCGGAUUUACUGGGCGUAAAGCGUGCGUAGGCGGCUUCUUAAGUCGGAUGUGAAAUCCCUGAGCUUAACUUAGGAAUUGCAUUCGAUACUGGGAAGCUAGAGUAUGGGAGAGGAUGGUAGAAUUCCAGGUGUAGCGGUGAAAUGCGUAGAGAUCUGGAGGAAUACCGAUGGCGAAGGCAGCCAUCUGGCCUAAUACUGACGCUGAGGUACGAAAGCAUGGGGAGCAAACAGG